RNAcentral lists this long non-coding RNA (313 nucleotides) under Mytilus galloprovincialis (Mediterranean mussel). The record is from RNAcentral. Lineage: Eukaryota; Metazoa; Mollusca; Bivalvia; Mytilida; Mytilidae.
UCCUUAAGGAUGUUCGCUACUCUGUUAAAAAAUAACAAGCUUUUUAAAAGACUGUUAUGGAUUGAUAGUAUAUAAAUAAAGAAACUAAAAUAGAUGAAAAAAAUGGAGGGUCCGUGUGCUCGUUUUCGAGAUAUAAGCCCUUGAAAAUUUGGCGGGAAAUAAAUCUCUCUAGAUUUUUCAUAUAUUUAACAUUGGCACCUUAUCUGUUUCAAAAAGUAUGAAAAAAUAACAAGAAUUUUAAAUAAUUUUGAAAUAUGGCUUUUCAAGCUUAAUGUAAUAAAAUUAAGAAAAGAAAAUUUGGGGUUAGUGGGCA